GAUCAUGGCUCAGGAUGAACGCUAGCUACAGGCUUAACACAUGCAAGUCGAGGGGAAACGACAUCGAAAGCUUGCUUUUGAUGGGCGUCGACCGGCGCACGGGUGAGUAACACGUAUCCAACCUUCCCGUUACUCUGGAAUAGCCUUUCGAAAGAAAGAUUAAUACCGGAUAGUAUCGAGAGAUUGCAUGAUUACCCGAUUAAAGAUUCAUCGGUAACGGAUGGGGAUGCGUUCCAUUAGGCAG
Molecule: ribosomal RNA, 244 nt
Filed under: uncultured bacterium
Lineage: Bacteria
Description: partial 16S ribosomal RNA
Rfam family: Bacterial small subunit ribosomal RNA
Source: RNAcentral